UUAAGCGACUAAGCGUACACGGUGGAUGCCCUGGCAGUCAGAGGCGAUGAAGGACGUGCUAAUCUGCGAUAAGCGUCGGUAAGGUGAUAUGAACCGUUAUAACCGGCGAUUUCCGAAUGGGGAAACCCAGUGUGUUUCGACACACUAUCAUUAACUGAAUCCAUAGGUUAAUGAGGCGAACCGGGGGAACUGAAACAUCUAAGUACCCCGAGGAAAAGAAAUCAACCGAGAUUCCCCCAGUAGCGGCGAGCGAACGGGGAGCAGCCCAGAGCCUGAAUCAGUGUGUGUGUUAGUGGAAGCGUCUGGAAAGGCGCGCGAUACAGGGUGACAGCCCCGUACACAAAAAUGCACAUAUUGUGAGCUCGAUGAGUAGGGCGGGACACGUGGUAUCCUGUCUGAAUAUGGGGGGACCAUCCUCCAAGGCUAAAUACUCCUGACUGACCGAUAGUGAACCAGUACCGUGAGGGAAAGGCGAAAAGAACCCCGGCGAGGGGAGUGAAAAAGAACCUGAAACCGUGUACGUACAAGCAGUGGGAGCACGCUUCGGCGUGUGACUGCGUACCUUUUGUAUAAUGGGUCAGCGACUUAUAUUCUGUAGCAAGGUUAACCGAAUAGGGGAGCCGAAGGGAAACCGAGUCUUAACUGGGCGUUAAGUUGCAGGGUAUAGACCCGAAACCCGGUGAUCUAGCCAUGGGCAGGUUGAAGGUUGGGUAACACUAACUGGAGGACCGAACCGACUAAUGUUGAAAAAUUAGCGGAUGACUUGUGGCUGGGGGUGAAAGGCCAAUCAAACCGGGAGAUAGCUGGUUCUCCCCGAAAGCUAUUUAGGUAGCGCCUCGUGAAUUCAUCUCCGGGGGUAGAGCACUGUUUCGGCAAGGGGGUCAUCCCGACUUACCAACCCGAUGCAAACUGCGAAUACCGGAGAAUGUUAUCACGGGAGACACACGGCGGGUGCUAACGUCCGUCGUGAAGAGGGAAACAACCCAGACCGCCAGCUAAGGUCCCAAAGUCAUGGUUAAGUGGGAAACGAUGUGGGAAGGCCCAGACAGCCAGGAUGUUGGCUUAGAAGCAGCCAUCAUUUAAAGAAAGCGUAAUAGCUCACUGGUCGAGUCGGCCUGCGCGGAAGAUGUAACGGGGCUAAACCAUGCACCGAAGCUGCGGCAGCGACACUAUGUGUUGUUGGGUAGGGGAGCGUUCUGUAAGCCUGUGAAGGUGUGCUGUGAGGCAUGCUGGAGGUAUCAGAAGUGCGAAUGCUGACAUAAGUAACGAUAAAGCGGGUGAAAAGCCCGCUCGCCGGAAGACCAAGGGUUCCUGUCCAACGUUAAUCGGGGCAGGGUGAGUCGACCCCUAAGGCGAGGCCGAAAGGCGUAGUCGAUGGGAAACAGGUUAAUAUUCCUGUACUUGGUGUUACUGCGAAGGGGGGACGGAGAAGGCUAUGUUGGCCGGGCGACGGUUGUCCCGGUUUAAGCGUGUAGGCUGGUUUUCCAGGCAAAUCCGGAAAAUCAAGGCUGAGGCGUGAUGACGAGGCACUACGGUGCUGAAGCAACAAAUGCCCUGCUUCCAGGAAAAGCCUCUAAGCAUCAGGUAACAUCAAAUCGUACCCCAAACCGACACAGGUGGUCAGGUAGAGAAUACCAAGGCGCUUGAGAGAACUCGGGUGAAGGAACUAGGCAAAAUGGUGCCGUAACUUCGGGAGAAGGCACGCUGAUAUGUAGGUGAGGUCCCUCGCGGAUGGAGCUGAAAUCAGUCGAAGAUACCAGCUGGCUGCAACUGUUUAUUAAAAACACAGCACUGUGCAAACACGAAAGUGGACGUAUACGGUGUGACGCCUGCCCGGUGCCGGAAGGUUAAUUGAUGGGGUCAGCGCAAGCGAAGCUCUUGAUCGAAGCCCCGGUAAACGGCGGCCGUAACUAUAACGGUCCUAAGGUAGCGAAAUUCCUUGUCGGGUAAGUUCCGACCUGCACGAAUGGCGUAAUGAUGGCCAGGCUGUCUCCACCCGAGACUCAGUGAAAUUGAACUCGCUGUGAAGAUGCAGUGUACCCGCGGCAAGACGGAAAGACCCCGUGAACCUUUACUAUAGCUUGACACUGAACAUUGAGCCUUGAUGUGUAGGAUAGGUGGGAGGCUUUGAAGUGUGGACGCCAGUCUGCAUGGAGCCGACCUUGAAAUACCACCCUUUAAUGUUUGAUGUUCUAACGUUGACCCGUAAUCCGGGUUGCGGACAGUGUCUGGUGGGUAGUUUGACUGGGGCGGUCUCCUCCUAAAGAGUAACGGAGGAGCACGAAGGUUGGCUAAUCCUGGUCGGACAUCAGGAGGUUAGUGCAAUGGCAUAAGCCAGCUUGACUGCGAGCGUGACGGCGCGAGCAGGUGCGAAAGCAGGUCAUAGUGAUCCGGUGGUUCUGAAUGGAAGGGCCAUCGCUCAACGGAUAAAAGGUACUCCGGGGAUAACAGGCUGAUACCGCCCAAGAGUUCAUAUCGACGGCGGUGUUUGGCACCUCGAUGUCGGCUCAUCACAUCCUGGGGCUGAAGUAGGUCCCAAGGGUAUGGCUGUUCGCCAUUUAAAGUGGUACGCGAGCUGGGUUUAGAACGUCGUGAGACAGUUCGGUCCCUAUCUGCCGUGGGCGCUGGAGAACUGAGGGGGGCUGCUCCUAGUACGAGAGGACCGGAGUGGACGCAUCACUGGUGUUCGGGUUGUCAUGCCAAUGGCACUGCCCGGUAGCUAAAUGCGGAAGAGAUAAGUGCUGAAAGCAUCUAAGCACGAAACUUG
Molecule: ribosomal RNA, 2767 nt
Filed under: Escherichia coli 1-176-05_S1_C1
Lineage: Bacteria; Pseudomonadati; Pseudomonadota; Gammaproteobacteria; Enterobacterales; Enterobacteriaceae
Description: bacterial LSU rRNA
Rfam family: Bacterial large subunit ribosomal RNA
Source: RNAcentral